RNAcentral lists this ribosomal RNA (468 nucleotides) under uncultured bacterium. RNAcentral describes it as "partial 16S ribosomal RNA". It matches the Rfam family "Bacterial small subunit ribosomal RNA", at positions 28 to 507 of the family's 1533-position model. The record is from RNAcentral.
GACGAACGCUGGCGGCGUGCUUAACACAUGCAAGUCGAACGGAAAGGCCCUGCUUUUGUGGGGUGCUCGCGUGGCGAACGGGUGAGUAACACGUGAGUAACCUGCCCUUGACUUUGGGAUAACUUCAGGAAACUGGGGCUAAUACCGGAUAGGAGCUCCUGCUGCAUGGUGGGGGUUGGAAAGUUUCGGCGGUUGGGGAUGGACUCGCGGCUUAUUAGCUUGUUGGUGGGGUAGUGGCUUACCAAGGCUUUGACGGGUAGCCGGCCUGAGAGGGCGACCGGCCACAUUGGGACUGAGAUACGGCCCAGACUCCUACGGGAGGCAGCAGUGGGGAAUAUUGCACAAUGGGCGGAAGCCUGAUGCAGCAACGCCGCGUGCGGGAUGACGGCCUUCGGGUUGUAAACCGCUUUCGCCUGUGACGAAGCGUGAGUGACGGUAAUGGGUAAAGAAGCACCGGCUAACUACGUG